GGUUAAGCGACUAAGCGUACACGGUGGAUGCCCUGGCAGUCAGAGGCGAUGAAGGACGUGCUAAUCUGCGAAAAGCGUCGGUAAGGUGAUAUGAACCGUUAUAGCCGGCGAUGUCCGAAUGGGGAAACCCAGUGCAAUUCGUUGCACUAUCGUUAACUGAAUACAUAGGUUAACGAGGCGAACCGGGGGAACUGAAACAUCUAAGUACCCCGAGGAAAAGAAAUCAACCGAGAUUCCCCCAGUAGCGGCGAGCGAACGGGGAGCAGCCCGGAGUCUGAAUCAGCUUGUGUGUUAGUGGAAGCGUCUGGAAAGUCGCAGGGUACAGGGUGAUACUCCCGUACACUAAAACGCACAGGUUGUGAACUCGAAGAGUAGGGCGGGACACGUGGUAUCCUGUCUGAAUAUGGGGGGACCAUCCUCCAAGGCUAAAUACUCCUGACUGACCGAUAGUGAACCAGUACCGUGAGGGAAAGGCGAAAAGAACCCCGGCGAGGGGAGUGAAAAAGAACCUGAAACCGUGUACGUACAAGCAGUAGGAGCCCACUAGUUGGGUGACUGCGUACCUUUUGUAUAAUGGGUCAGCGACUUAUAUUCUGUAGCAAGGUUAACCGUAUAGGGGAGCCGCAGGGAAACCGAGUCUUAACUGGGCGUUAAGUUGCAGGGUAUAGACCCGAAACCCGGUGAUCUAGCCAUGGGCAGGUUGAAGGUUGGGUAACACUAACUGGAGGACCGAACCGACUAAUGUUGAAAAAUUAGCGGAUGACUUGUGGCUGGGGGUGAAAGGCCAAUCAAACCGGGAGAUAGCUGGUUCUCCCCGAAAGCUAUUUAGGUAGCGCCUCGUGAAUUCAUCUUCGGGGGUAGAGCACUGUUUCGGCUAGGGGGUCAUCCCGACUUACCAACCCGAUGCAAACUACGAAUACCGAAGAAUGUUAUCACGGGAGACACACGGCGGGUGCUAACGUCCGUCGUGAAGAGGGAAACAACCCAGACCGCCAGCUAAGGUCCCAAAGUCAUGGUUAAGUGGGAAACGAUGUGGGAAGGCCCAGACAGCCAGGAUGUUGGCUUAGAAGCAGCCAUCAUUUAAAGAAAGCGUAAUAGCUCACUGGUCGAGUCGGCCUGCGCGGAAGAUGUAACGGGGCUAAACCAUGCACCGAAGCUGCGGCAGCGACACUAUGUGUUGUUGGGUAGGGGAGCGUUCUGUAAGCCGUUGAAGGUGGCCUGUGAGGGUUGCUGGAGGUAUCAGAAGUGCGAAUGCUGACAUAAGUAACGAUAAUGCGGGUGAAAAACCCGCACGCCGGAAGACCAAGGGUUCCUGUCCAACGUUAAUCGGGGCAGGGUGAGUCGACCCCUAAGGCGAGGCCGAAAGGCGUAGUCGAUGGGAAACAGGUUAAUAUUCCUGUACUCGGUGUUACUGCGAAGGGGGGACGGAGAAGGCUAUGUUGGCCGGGCGACGGUUGUCCCGGUUUAAGCAUGUAGGCGGAUGUUCCAGGUAAAUCCGGAACGUUAUUAACGCUGAGGUGUGAUGACGAGGCACUACGGUGCUGAAGUGACAAAUGCCCUGCUUCCAGGAAAAGCCUCUAAGCAUCAGGUAACAUCAAAUCGUACCCCAAACCGACACAGGUGGUCAGGUAGAGAAUACCAAGGCGCUUGAGAGAACUCGGGUGAAGGAACUAGGCAAAAUGGUGCCGUAACUUCGGGAGAAGGCACGCUGAUGGUAGGUGAAGUGACUUGCUCAUGGAGCUGAAAUCAGUCGAAGAUACCAGCUGGCUGCAACUGUUUAUUAAAAACACAGCACUGUGCAAACACGAAAGUGGACGUAUACGGUGUGACGCCUGCCCGGUGCCGGAAGGUUAAUUGAUGGGGUUAUCCGUAAGGAGAAGCUCUUGAUCGAAGCCCCGGUAAACGGCGGCCGUAACUAUAACGGUCCUAAGGUAGCGAAAUUCCUUGUCGGGUAAGUUCCGACCUGCACGAAUGGCGUAAUGAUGGCCAGGCUGUCUCCACCCGAGACUCAGUGAAAUUGAACUCGCUGUGAAGAUGCAGUGUACCCGCGGCAAGACGGAAAGACCCCGUGAACCUUUACUAUAGCUUGACACUGAACACUGGUCCUUGAUGUGUAGGAUAGGUGGGAGGCUUUGAAGUGUGGACGCCAGUCUGCAUGGAGCCAUCCUUGAAAUACCACCCUUUAAUGGCUGGUGUUCUAACGUGGGCCCGUAAUCCGGGUUGCGGACAGUGUCUGGUGGGUAGUUUGACUGGGGCGGUCUCCUCCUAAAGAGUAACGGAGGAGCACGAAGGUCAGCUAAUCCUGGUCGGACAUCAGGAGGUUAGUGCAAUGGCAUAAGCUGGCUUGACUGCGAGCGUGACGGCGCGAGCAGGUGCGAAAGCAGGUCAUAGUGAUCCGGUGGUUCUGAAUGGAAGGGCCAUCGCUCAACGGAUAAAAGGUACUCCGGGGAUAACAGGCUGAUACCGCCCAAGAGUUCAUAUCGACGGCGGUGUUUGGCACCUCGAUGUCGGCUCAUCACAUCCUGGGGCUGAAGUAGGUCCCAAGGGUAUGGCUGUUCGCCAUUUAAAGUGGUACGCGAGCUGGGUUUAGAACGUCGUGAGACAGUUCGGUCCCUAUCUGCCGUGGGCGCUGGAGAAUUGAGGGGGGCUGCUCCUAGUACGAGAGGACCGGAGUGGACGCAUCACUGGUGUUCGGGUUGUCAUGCCAAUGGCAUUGCCCGGUAGCUAAAUGCGGAAGAGAUAAGUGCUGAAAGCAUCUAAGCACGAAACUUGCCCCGAGAUGAGUUCUCCCUGACCCUUUAAGGGUCCUGAAGGAACGUUGAAGACGACGACGUUGAUAGGCCGGGUGUGUAAGCGCAGCGAUGCGUUGAGCUAACCGGUACUAAUGAACCGUGAGGCUUAACCUU
Molecule: ribosomal RNA, 2906 nt
Filed under: Klebsiella michiganensis
Lineage: Bacteria; Pseudomonadati; Pseudomonadota; Gammaproteobacteria; Enterobacterales; Enterobacteriaceae
Description: 23S ribosomal RNA
Rfam family: Bacterial large subunit ribosomal RNA
Source: RNAcentral